Non-coding RNA from Rattus norvegicus (Norway rat), 9405 nucleotides. Lineage: Eukaryota; Metazoa; Chordata; Mammalia; Rodentia; Muridae. The record is from RefSeq and is a predicted model, not a curated record.
GCGGGCGCUAAAUGAUGACGCAGAGCGCGCGCGGGGCGUUUCAGCCACUGGAGAAGUAGGCUGAGGAAAGGAAUCGGGGUCUGGGUGUGCGACGUUCGGCAAGAUAUCGCUGAGCUAGGUGGGACAGCCAGAUUUCAAAGAUGCCAGGACGGUCCAGUACAAAUUCAGGUUCUACUCGUUACAUAUCCUUCAGUGGUGUAGAGUCAGCUCUCUCCUCCUUAAAAACCUUCCAGUCCUGUAUCAGCUCUGGGAUGGACACAGUUUCUAGUGUUGCCUUGGACCUUGUGGAGACCCAAACUGAAGUGAGUAGUGAGUACAGUAUGGACAAGGCCAUGGUUGAAUUUGCUAAAAUGGAUCGAGAACUAAACCAUUAUGUUAAGGCUGUCCAGUCUACAAUAAAUCAUGUAAAAGAAGAACGUCCAGAAAAAGUACCAGAUUUAAAAUUACUGGUGGAGAAGAAAUUUUUGGCUUUACAGGAUAAGAACUCUGACGCCGACUUUAAAGAGAAUGAAAAGUUCGUGCAGUUUAAGCAGCAGCUGCGGGAGCUGAAGAAGCAAUUAGUGAAACCCAGAGAAGAUGGAAGACACAAUGAAUUCGACCCGAAUAAGGAUUCCAGUAGAACAGGCAAUGAACGAGAUGGUAUUCAUGCAGACAGAGAGAAUGAUGGGAUAGAAGGAAUGGAUGAAGAUAUGAUUGUGACCCAGAGCCAAACCAAUUUCAUCUGCCCCAUAACACAGUUGGAAAUGAAGAAGCCAGUGAAAAAUAAAAUGUGUGGCCACACAUACGAAGAGGAAGCCAUUGUUCGCAUGAUUGAAUCCAAGCAUAAGAGGAAGAAGAAGGCUUGGAAGUUGGAACUCAGACCCAGGGGACAGCUUCAUCAUUCAGCAGAUGGCAGAGCAUCCAGAAUUUAAGAAAGAAACUACUUACUGGUGGACUCAGUCUAUAGAGCACUAGAAGAGCCGUAGGUGGUGAGGAAUGGAAGACACACACCCCAGCCCUCUGUCCUGUAUUUGCCAAUAACUCUUCAGGUCCUGGAAUCUUUUGUUUACUUACUUAUUUGAGGGUCUUGCUACAUAAUCCAGGCUACCCUUGAAAGCCCAGUGUCCUUCCUUAGCCUCUGGAGUGCCCUCUGGACCUUUCCUUGGUUCUCUGAUUAACUGAGGGUGUGAAGCUCUAUGCUUUAGGUUCUGAGCUGAAUUUCUUUGUUAUCAGUACCUGUCUGUCAUUUCCUAGACAAAAGAGGGGACUUCUCCAUCACCAAGGGGGAGAAAAUACCCUACACCAAUGAUAGGCUCCUUCUGCCAGAUGCCAGAGCAAAACCAUGACUACGUGAUGCAAGGCUUUGUGGACCACUGAAAAGCAAUGCACCAGCCCCUUACUACCACCUCACAACAACCCACUGGAUUACAAACAUAAGAUCUUCAUUGUAAUCUCUUCCUUUACUCCCUUUCCCCUCCCUCCAGCUGCCUGUGUCAAUCCCAGCCCACCCCAGGUCAGAACCUCUUGAAGUCCCAGUUCUGAGAUAGAUACAGCAUUCCAGGCCCUACCCUGAAAGGACUCCCUGGUGCCACAAAGUAAUGAAGCUCUCGUUCUCAGAGCAACAUGAGAAGCUCGUGUUGCCAGAUGCAACCUCCCCUCUGACCUCCCGGUGCUCUGCUGUGGUCUCCCAUCUAAGGCAUAUGUGUCCCCAACACAUUAAGUUUCUCACAGUCAGACCCAGGAUCUCUUCAUGAGCCACUUGAAGUGCUGAUUAGAAUUCAGACUCCCAGGUCCAUCCUAAGCCCAGUUAGCUAGACUCCUGGGCCAGGGCCCAGGGUUCUGACACUUCACAGGUGACAUCAAGGUAUACCUGAAUGGACUCAUGUUUGAUUUAUAGAGCCAAACAGAGCACAAAUAUACAGAUAGCCACUCACAGCUUCUUAACAUUAUAUUCUUUUCUUAAAUCUAUUUUAUUUUUAAUUAAAAUAUGAUUAUGUCAUUUCCCUCUCAUCCUCCAACCCCUCCCAUGCCUCAUGAAGCUAAUGGCUUCUUUAAGAAAUUAUUAGAUAGAUAGAUAGAUAGAUAGAUAGAUAGAUAGAUAGAUAGAUAGAUAGAUAGAUAGAUGAUAAAGAUUCUAAGUGAAAAAGCUCAAAAGACUGUGUAGUGACACACUCCUUUAAUCCUACCUAGCACUUGGGAGACAGAGGAAAGUAGAUGUCUAAGAGUUCCAAAACAGAUCUAUAGAGUGUAACUGUGUCGAAGAAAAGAAGCAGGAAUGUAGGCCGACUGUCCUGUGGUUGGCAGCACUUACUGCUUGCAAAGAGCCGAGGUUUGGCUCCCAGCAACCACAUGGUAGCUCAUGAACACCUGUAACUCCAGAUCCACAGGAUCUGACAUCCUCGUCUGACCUCUGAGAACAUGAAGAGUGUACACAGUGCCCUUCCAUAUGCAAACAAAAACACACCCAUAAAAUAAAAUAACCUUUUCUUGUUGAUUUGAGGCAAGAUUGGCACAGUAGCCUUGACUGGCCUGGAACUCAGAGAUCUGUAUGCCUCCCUAGUACUGGAACUAAACGUGUGUGUCACCACGCCCAGCCACUCUACUUUUUGAAGAUCCUUAGAUAAAUAUGAAGUAUUGGCUACCCUGUCUUUUUAACUUCUACUUUUUCCUUUUCUUUUCUUUUUUUUUUAACAUCCUCAUGAGCUGAAGGACUCCCUCCCAAUUUGAUUGAUGAAUCUCUCUUGGCCAGGGAAGAUUUCACUGUUUGGCUUGGGUUUGAUGGUUCUCCUGAGAGCAUCUUUUCACAUCUGUCUCCCAGGGCUCAGCCUCGAGUGAAGUGUCAGUAAGACAGAGAGAUAGAAACACCUUCCAUCCCUCCUCACCAUGCCAACCUUUGUGUCAUGUGUGUUGGAAGUAUACAGAUGUAUUAUGGUUCGAAUGUGAAAUGUCACACACACACACACACACACACACACACACACACACACGAGUUGGGACACUUGGUUCCUACUUAGUGACGCCACUUUAGGAGGUUGAGCCUGGCUGGAGGAAGUUUGUAUCUUCCGGUUCCCUCCUGUGUUUCCUACUUCCCAACCCAGCAUGGGUGGCAGGAGUCACUGUCACAUGGUCCUGCUUCCUUCCCAGGUGUCAUGCCUUCCUGGCCAUGGUAGACAGAUAACUUCCUGAUGAAACUCUCAGCCAAAACAAAGCUUUCCUCCCUCAUGUUCUUUCUGUCAGGGAUGAAAAAGAAACUAAUGCUGGGGGUUUGACGGAGACCUCCAGUCACCCACCCCGUGCACCAGACACUCCACUCAGAGCGAGCCUCAGUUAAUGUGUGUGUGUGUGUGUGUGUGUGUGUGUGUGUGUGUGUUGAAAUUUCCAAGACUGUGCUUCCUGACCACCAAUUGUUCAAGUGUUCCCAUCACACUUCUGUCACCGCUUGCUCCUUAUGCGAUUGUUUUAAAAGGUGUUGACUUUUGAAAAGCCUUGUCCUAACUGAUAACUCACAUGAAAAUCACCACGGUUUACAGUUGGGAGUACUGAGAGGAACCCACGGCUUCAUGAAUGCUAAUUAAGUAUUCUACCAAGUUCUAGUUCCAGUCAGGCAUUUUUGAGGCACUUUACAUCCUCCUGGCUGUUUGCUGGAGGGUUCUUGCAGGGAUGGGGGCCCAAAACUUCUCUACUUACCAGGGCUCUCCCACGACCCUCCCUCUAAGCCCUACCCAGCACUAAACUAAGAAGUCUCUUGACAUUGCACCAAUGCCAGCAGGAAGCAAGUUUUGGCUAGCCAUCAAGGCAUGCUAGCCCGCCCACUGCGACCGGCCAACAGCGCUGACUUCCACAAAGAGUGGUUUGUGCUGACCGAUGAAUCUGAGCUUCACACGAGAAGUCUGAGCCGGACAAAUGCUACGUUGGGGCUCCCAGUGUUGUCGGCCCUGGGUCACAUCACCAGAGCUCAGUCGUGAGUUCCAGACAACUUCCAGUCAGUAAACAUGAGCUCACCAGCUUGUCCCUAUCUGCCUGUGUCCAAGCAGGUGACAUCCCCUGCCUGUCUUGGGCACUUCUCAGGGAGAAGACAGCUUGAGUCCCAGGAACCCUUGCAGCUACAGAUCUAUUUUCCCCUUGGGUCUGUUUGUCUUUGAAAUAACAUGUAACUCAUAUUGAGCACAUGUCAAGGGAGGCUGUGUGCUGCCAGCCAAGGAAAACAAGCUAAGGUGUGCUGAUAGCUGGCUGGCAGUUUAUGAUUUACCUGAGGACAAACUGACACCAGUCACACUUUGAGGGGCUGCCUCGGAGGGUGCAUUCAAGCCACAGAUGGUCUGUUCUCGCUCCCUUCAGCUCUGUGGAGAUGGACACUCAGAAGCAAGGUUUGGGGAAGUGGAGUGUUCUUGGAACAGCUGGAUGUUCAGAGGACAAGUGCCAGUUUCGAUUUCUGACCUGAGCCGCCUCCCAUUAGCUUCUCCUCACCCAGGAGCCUUUAGCUGUGCAUGGAAGAGGGGUCCUCUACUUUGCUUGCCUCUUGGAAAUGUAUCCAGCCAGGUUGAAUCAAACACUGUGCACAGAGACAGGGCAGGGUGGAGACAGGCCCUGUGGAACACCGCUCUGAUAUUGGGUGGGAGCACGUAUGGCUGGGGCACUACCCUGCCUUCAGAGAACAGGUGCUCUGAGCCUGAGUUCCUGAGGAUGUAUGAAGACUGUUGCAAAGUACCAACUUGCUUCAAAACAGCCAGGAUGACGUAAGCUGCCUCAAAAACGACAGACAAAUACUCGAGGGCUUGGUCCAGCCCUUACCUUGGGUUCCUUCCAGUAACUCGAGGACAGGCAGGGAGGAAUCAGUAUUGAAGUGGGGUACUGUGUCUUGGCUGUUCAUUCAAGCAUCCCCCCAAAGAUGCACAGGCUGCAGGCUAGAUCCCCAGAGCGGCUUUCUGGCAAACAGUGGACUUUCUUCUUUUUUAAAUUAUUCACUUAACAUUCCAAUAUCAGGACCCCCUUCCAGUACUCCCUCACAGAGAUCAUUCUCAAUUGCCCUUUCCUCCUAUGAGAAGGGGAGGCCUCCCUUGGUUGUGUGUGUGUGUGUGUGUGUGUGUGUGUGUAUAUGUAUGUAUGUAUGUGUGUGUGUAUGUGAUGUGUGUGUGUAUGUGUGUGGUGUGUGUGUAUGUAUGUGUGUGGUGUGUGUGUGUGCGGUGUGUGUAUAUGUAUGUAUGUGUGUGUGCUGUGUGUGUAUAUGUGUGUGUAUGUGUGGUGUGUGUGUGUGUAUGUGUGUGGUGUGUGUUUGUAUGUGUGUGGUGUGUUUGUAUGUGUGUGGUGUGUAUGAGUGGUGUGCGUAUGUAUGUGUGGUGUGUGUGUGUAUAUGUGUGUAUGUGUAUGUGUGGUGUGCGUGUAUGUGUGUGUGUAUGUGUGUGUGUAUGUAUGUGUGUGUAUGUGUGUGUAUGUGUGUGUAUGUAUGUGUGUGUAUGUGUGUGUAUGUGUGUGGUGUGUGUGUAUGUAUGUGUGGUGUGUGUGUGUAUGUGUGUGUGUAUGUAUGUGUGUGUAUGUGUGUGGUGUGUGUGUGUAUGUGUGUGGUGUGUUUGUAUGUGUGUGGUGUGUAUGUGUGGUGUGUGUGUGUGUAUGUAUGUGUGGUGUGUGUGUGUGUGUGUGUGUGUGCUUUCGCGCGCACACACGCACGCACGCACGCAUGUGUGCUCCCCAGCACAUCAGUCACAGCAGGAUUAGGUGCAUCCUCUCCCAUUGAGGCCAGACAAGGCAGCCCAGCUAGGCCAUUGGAAUCCACAGGCAGGCAACAGAUUCAGGGACGGUCAUCAUUUCAGUUGUUAGGGACCCACAUGAAGACCAAGCUGCUCAUCUGCUACACAUUGCAGGGGCCUAGGUCCAGCCCAUGUUUGCUCUUGGUUGGUGGCUCAAUCUCUGGGGGCCACCCAGGGUCCAGGUUAGUUGACCCAGUUAGGGUCUUCCUGUGGAGGCCCUGUCCUCUUUAGGUCCCUCAGUCCUUUCCCCAACUCUUCCACAAGACUCCCCUGCUCCAUCUAAUUUUUGGUUGUGAGUCUCUGUAUCUGUUUCCAUCAACAGCUGGGUGGAGCCUCUCAGAGGACAGUUAUACGAGGCUCCUGACUGCAAGCAUAACAGAGUAUCAGUAAUAGUGUCAGGGAUUGGUUCUUGCCCAUUGGGUGGGUCUCAAUGGUGAGUCAUUGCUUGGACACUCCCUCUGUCUCUGCUCUCUGCUCUCUUUGUCCCUAUACAUCUUGUAGGCAGGACACAUUUUGGGUGGAAGGUUUUGUGGGUGGGUUGCUGCCCUUAUCCCUUCACUGCGAGUCCAGCUUUAGAAAGUGGCCACUUCAGUCUCCAUAUCCCCCACUGCCAUGAAUCUCAGCUAGGGUCACCCACAUAGCACCCUGGGACCUCCCCACCACUGUCCUAGAGAUGCCCCCACUCCGAUUUCUGUUCUCUCCUCUGCUCUCCCUACCCCUGAUCCCCCACCCCCUCUCCCACCCAGUUCCCUUCCUCCAUCCACCUUUGAUAUCUAUUUUAUUUCCCCUCUGAGAAAGAUUCAAGCCUCCUCUCUUGGUCCUUCCUUGUUAUCUGGCUUCUUUGGGUCUGUGGAUUGAUAGCAUGGUUAUCCUGAACUUUACGGUGAGUAAGUGGUGAGGCCUGGAAGGAGGUCUUUAGCUCUUAGAAUCAGUUGUGGGUACCUCAGCCCUUUCUGGCUUCCAUGUUCCAAGGCGUGAUAUCCUCCUGCUGUUACCCACACUGAGGUGACACAGCCAAGGAGAGAGCAGGACCCAUUCUGAUAAUUCUGUUAGUGUUAAGAACUGUGAACUAAACCAACUUCUUGGCCUUUAUAAAAUUAGCUUGUCUGCGGUAUUUUCCUGUAGUAAAGAAAAGUAAACGGGUAGGUUAAUUGUGAAUAUAAAGUAUUUAAGGGAUUUUUAUAAAUGUAUUCAUAAAAUAAUAUAAAGAUGUGCCUUUCCACAAAAUGUGAUCCUUUUCAGGUUUAUUAUGAAAGGUCAAAUUGUGUUCCAGGUCAGUGAAACCCUUCAGGAUAUAGUACUCAGGAAAUAUUUUAUGACUUGACUUGGCAAUGAAAAAGGGCUGAUUUGGAGAAAUGGGAAUGGCCAACAUAAGCACAGAAGCUGUACCCCAGAAAAAAGGAUUAGAAGGACAAAGAUCAGAUAAAUGAGCAGACAGGGUCCUGUUGUGGGUUCCAGCAGAGGGACCUAGAGGUGACACUGAAUACAUGAUUUCUGUCUGAGUCUUCAAGGUCUGUAGAAAUGUUAGAUGCAUCCGGUGGCUCAUUUGGGAAACAGCCCUGAGGAGAAAACUCUCAGUUUUCAAAAAAAAAAUAGAAAGAGAAAAAGAAGAGAAAGAAGAAGAGAGAUGACAAAAAGGCCGAAGUGUAAGAAAAAGGACCCAGGGACAGGUAAACCAGAAAAGAACCAGGAGCUUCUGGAGCUAACUCUGCCUUCCGUAAGGAAGGACCACUGAUUGGAGCCCAAGAGCAGAGCAUAAGCCAUGCAGUGCCCUGAGAAGAGAGUACAGGCACUCAACCCACAGAGUACAUUGCAGGGCGCCUGCAAACCACCUGUACCUGCGUUAGGACCUGAGCGGGGGUCUUCCCCCCAACAGUGAGGAACGCUGCUGAAGGCUCUUUCUUGGUAGAGCCUCCCUCUUUACUGGAGAAGCUUGGUAAAGGAGGGGCAAAGGGUCCAACUCCUCUGCUGAGGUCUUUGUCGCAGUUGCAUUAACCCAGUCUGCUUCCUUCACCCCACGGAUGUUGUUCCCAAGAGCUCCUCACGCCUCCCACAUGAGCAUCCCCAUCUCAGGAUCUGUUUCCAGGGAAACGAACACAAGGCAAACCAGUCUUUCAUAACCGCGGUGUCUGCUCUACGUCAACACCACUAGGGUCCUGUGGGAAGAGUGAACUAGCCUGGAAACCCCAUGCUCAUCGUCUUGCACCUGGAGGGGCGGGUGCAUUAGAAACUAGUCAAGAGGACAGGAAGCAUAGAGGGAGGCCAUUGCUAGCCUAUGCGGAGGAGGGGAUCCCAGGAUUUCCAGAUUUGAAACACAUCCUUUUUAGCAUUUCCAGACACCGCGAGCUAGCGAGCGAGCGAGUGGCUCUCACCAUCCGGAAACUCUUCCUACUUCAAAGCCAGAAUCCCUCCUUCCUUAAAGCGUCCCCACUUCCUUUCCCCUUUUCCUCAUGUGGCUGUGUUCUUGCCAGCAAAGAAAGUUGAAAAGGAACAAAGGCAUAUGGUUUUCCUAUUAAGACUGACGCCCACGUGUGAGGGGAGCCAGAGGGGAGCGUUCGAAUAAGGGCAACGGAAAUACGUUUAUGUGACAUUCAUUUUGUAGGCUGGUUUUUAGAAAGCUUACCACAAACAAUGAGAGUUCUCCUUUGUUCCGCUCAUUACAUUUUUGGAAUAUUUAGAAUAUUCUGGAAACACGGCUACAAAAAGGCAGGAGAAUUCAGGAGACCCCGCUACAAAAAGGCAGGAGAAUUCAGGAGACCCUGGGUCUGGCUUAUCACCCUGGGUCUGGGUGCAGACUUAAUUCUGGGGUGCAGACUUAAUUCUGAGCUGCACAUGGUGGCGCAGACCUGGAGUCUCAGCUACUCAGCAGGGGUGAGGUAGUGGCCGUCACCUGAGCCUGGCCAGAGCCACACUGGAAGAACCCAUCCCGUCCUACCCCCUCCCUCCUAAGUCUAAUUUCUGCCAGACAUUAGCUGUGGACCUACCAUGGUAUAUGCUCAAAAUUCCCUACACUCAAGAGGCUGAGGCAGAGGGAUUGUGAGUUUGAGACCAGCCUGGAUUACAUAGAGAGAGAAACCAUGUCUCAAAAAAGCCAAGGGGCUGAGAGAAAGCCAUCCUAAACUCUGGUUAAAGAGCUCACUAUGUGAACCCAAAGAUAAGAACUGGGGUUCAAAUCCUCAGAGCUCACAUAAAUACUGGGUUGCUGCGGUGGCUUUGAUAAUCCUCAGCUUCCCCUAUGGGACAAAGGGGGUCACUUGCCUUAUAGGGUCCUUGCCUAGUGCAAAUGUCCUUGCAAUGGAAAAGAUAGGGGAGGGAGACAAAGAGAGGGGGUGGGAGGCGGGAGGAAAGACAGAAAGACAUGCAGCUAGAAGGGAAGUGUCACUCAGGCCAGAGCUAGACCUCACUUGGCAGAGGGCUCACCUAGCAGGGUCUUUUCUACCAUGCUGUGUGCCCUGAUCGAGCUGGCCCACUCCCCCUUCCAUCUCAGCAGAGGAUGGCUGCAGUUGUUGACAUCUAGCUACUUUCUGUACAUUCCGAGGACAGUUUGGCAGGCUUUUGUGGCAAGCACCUUUACCUCCACAUCUCCUGCUCAUGCCUGAAAACGUCUGUUGUGCAUAUAAACCUCAUUUUCCUUACCCAGUCUGCUGUUCAUACAGGGUUGCAAUAAACAUUGAUUUGCAAA